RNAcentral lists this ribosomal RNA (264 nucleotides) under uncultured bacterium. RNAcentral describes it as "partial 16S ribosomal RNA". It matches the Rfam family "Bacterial small subunit ribosomal RNA", at positions 90 to 354 of the family's 1533-position model. The record is from RNAcentral.
UCUUAGUGGCGGACGGGUGAGUAACGCGUGGGUAACCUGCCUUAUACAGGGGGAUAACACUUAGAAAUAGGUGCUAAUACCGCAUAAGCGCACGGGGCUGCAUGGCCCAGUGUGAAAAACUCCGGUGGUAUAAGAUGGACCCGCGUCUGAUUAGCUAGUUGGCGGGGUAACGGCCCACCAAGGCAGCGAUCAGUAGCCGGCCUGAGAGGGUGGACGGCCACAUUGGGACUGAGACACGGCCCAAACUCCUACGGAAGGCAGCAG